GGGUGCGAUCAUACCAGCACUAAUGCACCGGAUCCCAACAGAACUCCGAAGUUAAACCUGCUUGGGCGAGAGUAGUACUAAGAUGGGUGACCUCUUGGGAAGUCCUCGUGUUGCACCCC
Molecule: ribosomal RNA, 119 nt
Filed under: Ricinus communis (castor bean)
Lineage: Eukaryota; Viridiplantae; Streptophyta; Magnoliopsida; Malpighiales; Euphorbiaceae
Source: RNAcentral